UGAAAAUCAGAGGGCGUGAACCGCUGAGAAGGAAGCGGAUAGAGUUGACGAAACACAAUGGCAUUCAUCUAAUCAGGUGCUAUUGAGUUAACUGUACUGUUUGUACUAUUGAACCGCAAGAUUUGAUAGUCAAUGAUAUGGUUAUAGCUGAAUACUUGAUUGGUGCUUUUGCCAUUGGUAUGUGCUGAGAGGUUCGCUGUGAUGCGUUAAUAUCGAUUGCUAAAGAGGACUAUGCUUCGCUUAAGUGUAGAACCCUUUCAUUGGUUAAGGCGUAUUCAUGGUGAAUUGCUGUUUGGUAACGCAGUUAUAUCGCUUGCUAGUAGCGCAUAUAGGUUAUUACGUUGAUUGUAGUUAGCUAUUGAGCGGUCGCAUGCGACUUGCUUAUAGUUUCAACUAUAGUUCGUUGAUAGCUUAUUGCGUUGGCGAUAUAUCUUGGUAUAAAAGUUGACCACCUAUCCGACCCGUCUUGAAACACGGACCAAGGAGUUUAGCAUAUACGCAAGUCAUUGGGUGGUAAACCUAAAAGGCGUAAUGAAAGUAAAGAUUGCAUUUAAUGCAAAUGAUAUGGGAUCUACAUUUGAGUCGUCAAAAAACUUUUUAAUGUAGCGCACCAUAGUCCCGUCCCCGUUGCUUGCAAUAGGGCGGAGAUAGAGCGUAUACGCUGAGACCCGAAAGAUGGUGAACUAUGCCUGAGCAGGAUGAAGCCAGAGGAAACUCUGGUGGAAGUCCGAAGCGAUUCUGACGUGCAAAUCGAUCCGUCUGACCUGGGAU
RNAcentral lists this ribosomal RNA (771 nucleotides) under Thelandros sp. EAG-2014. RNAcentral describes it as "eukaryotic LSU rRNA". It matches the Rfam family "Eukaryotic large subunit ribosomal RNA", at positions 384 to 918 of the family's 3401-position model. The record is from RNAcentral. Lineage: Eukaryota; Metazoa; Nematoda; Chromadorea; Rhabditida; Pharyngodonidae.